AUUGAACGCUGGCGGCAUGCUUUACACAUGCAAGUCGAACGGCAGCGCGGGCUUCGGCCUGGCGGCGAGUGGCGAACGGGUGAGUAAUACAUCGGAACGUGCCCAGUAGUGGGGGAUAGCUCGGCGAAAGCCGGAUUAAUACCGCAUACGACCUGAGGGUGAAAGCGGGGGAUCUUCGGACCUCGCGCUAUUGGAGCGGCCGAUGGCAGAUUAGCUAGUUGGUGGGGUAAAGGCCUACCAAGGCGACAAUCUGUAGCUGGUCUGAGAGGACGACCAGCCACACUGGGACUGAGACACGGCCCAGACUCCUACGGGAGGCAGCAGUGGGGAAUUUUGGACAAUGGGCGAAAGCCUGAUCCAGCAAUGCCGCGUGUGUGAUGAAGGCCUUCGGGUUGUAAAGCACUUUUGGCGGGAACGAAAAGGACUGUGCCAAUACCACGGUUCGAUGACGGUACCCGCAGAAUAAGCACCGGCUAACUACGUG
Molecule: ribosomal RNA, 484 nt
Filed under: uncultured bacterium
Lineage: Bacteria
Description: partial 16S ribosomal RNA
Rfam family: Bacterial small subunit ribosomal RNA
Source: RNAcentral